This 885-nucleotide ribosomal RNA is filed under the name Echiniscus capensis. Its description in RNAcentral is "SSU rRNA". It matches the Rfam family "Eukaryotic small subunit ribosomal RNA", at positions 138 to 932 of the family's 1831-position model. Lineage: Eukaryota; Metazoa; Tardigrada; Heterotardigrada; Echiniscoidea; Echiniscidae. The record is from RNAcentral.
CAUGGAUAACUGUGGUAAUUCUAGAGCUAAUACAUGCAGCAAGCCUUGACCCUUACGGGCAAGGCGCAGUUAUUAGAUCAAAAACCAAUCGGUUGUGUCUUCGGAUGCAGCCGUUAGCUUGGUGACUCUGAGUAACCACAGCGAACCGUAUGGCCUCGUGCUCGACGGUCUGUCAGUCAAGCAACUGCCUUAUCAGCUUGUUGUUAGGUUAUAUGCCUAACAAGGCUUCAACGGGUAACGAACGAUCGGGGUCGGAUAUCGGAGAGGGAGCUUGAGAAACGGCUACCACUUCCAAGGAAGGCAGCAGGCGCGCAAAUUACCCACUCUCGGCAUGAGGAGGUAGCGAUAAAAUGUAUCGAUGCGGGGCCAUUAGUGCCUUCGUAAUCGGAAUGAGUACACUUUAAAUCCUAUAACGAGGACCUAUUGGAGGGCAAGUCUGGUGCCAGCAGCCGCGGUAAUUCCAGCUCCAAUAGCGUAUGUUAAUGCUGCUGCGGUUAAAAAGCUCGUAGUCGGAUCUGGGUUACCGGCGGGUACCGCAUGUUGCUUCACGCAGCAUGUUGUGUACUAUACGUGUCGCUUCGGCGGCACUGCCAGUGUAACAGUGCUCCUCGUGGGUGCUUUGCAUUGGUCGCCGGAACCACGAGCCGGGUUGAGCAGCAUGCUCUUAAUUGAGUGUGUUGUUUACUCGGUGCGUUUACUUUGAAAAAAUUGGAGUGCUCAAAGCAAGCGUACAGUCGCUAUGCGGCUUGAACAGUGGUGCAUGGAAUAAUGGAAUAGGGCCUCGGUUCUAUUUUGUUGGUUUUAAGAUAUCGAGGUAAUGAUUAAGAGGGACAGACGGGGACGUUUGUAUUGCGACGUUAGAGGUGAAAUUCUUGGAUCGUCGCA